CGCAGGGGUUGCCCCUUGUCCCCCAGAGCUCAGGGAAACGGCUCGGGGUCCGCAUAGACCGGGUAGUGUGGACCCCUGGCUUUCUUUCCCAACCACCAUCUUCUUCAGGAGGAGCCCACCGGCCCAGACGGGGAAGCAAGGCUCCACUUCCCCCAGAAGCAGACGAGGGCAAGCGGAUGGAGCCUGUCGUUGUGAUGGGCCGGACCUGUGUUGGAGACUUUUGUCAUGUCCCUGUCACUGUGGAGGGUGUUCCCUGCUCUGCCCUGGUUGACACUGGGUCCACAGUAACCCUGGUGAGGCCGGAUAUUGUGCCAGGUUGGACUCAGUGUGAACCCACAACUGUGCAGCUCCGCACAGUCACAGUUAAAGCAGC
This 373-nucleotide long non-coding RNA is filed under the name Salmo salar (Atlantic salmon). RNAcentral's name for it is "lncRNA (ENSSSAG00000085387.1)". The record is from RNAcentral. Lineage: Eukaryota; Metazoa; Chordata; Actinopteri; Salmoniformes; Salmonidae.